RNAcentral lists this long non-coding RNA (2773 nucleotides) under Marmota monax (woodchuck). The stretch from base 2034 to 2164 matches the Rfam family "Small nucleolar RNA SNORA69". Lineage: Eukaryota; Metazoa; Chordata; Mammalia; Rodentia; Sciuridae. The record is from RNAcentral.
CCCAGGGCCCCAUGGGAGGCUGGGCUGGCGGGUAGGGAGGCGCUAGUCGCUGGCUGGCGCAAAGCGUCACUGCCUAAGCUCCACCUCUCAGUGGCGCCUUCUAAACGCGUUCUUCCGCCCUCUUUCCUCCUCUUCGCCUUUUUUCGGCCAUUGUGGUGCGAGCACCGAAUUCGGUCCCUCACCAUGGUAAGUCUAUCGGCCGCCAUCGGCUCGGAGAUGGCUUUCCUAGACACAAAGCCGCCAAGGGCUGGCCGGGGCCGCGUGAAGUGUCGAGGGGCAGGAGUAUUUUAAAGGUAUUUUCAAGGGACUGUCCAGUUUGGCCGCUGCUCUAACCCACAGGUCUAGCAGGACCACUCGGGGAGGGGCGGCUGCGCCGGCGCGGAAGAGUCCAAAGCGCGCUAAGAGUCUGGCUGAUCCCGGGGAGCGCAAGGAUUUUUGCUUCCCUGCUGUUGCAAACUGUGAUUAUCGAGGUGCACCCCCGCUUGCCUGAACUUGGACCAACGGCAGGCUGCCGGUAGUGUGCACGAUAUGCUCGGCAUCAGAAGGGGCAUCCAGAAGUGUUACCCAUAACAAGAUUGCAGGAAUUUUUAGUCAUUUGUUCAGAGACUUGAGCUUAAUUGCCUAGAAUGGGGGUUUUGUGUGAUACGGGGAUUUUUAGUAAAUGCCAUCACUGCUCUGUGACAGAUUACUAUGUUUGUUGGUUACUAGGUAUGGAGGGGAUCGGUAUUUGAUGUUUUCUAGUUUAUUGAUAAAAUAUACAACUGCUAUUGCGGGCUGGGAGAGAGUUGUAGUUAUGCCUUUAUAAUGGCCCCUAUAAUGCAAGGGUUUGUUGGGCUAAGUUGGCUAGGCUAUAGAUCUGCAAUUCUGCCGGAUUGACCUUGAGGGGGUGGAGGGUACACUGAGGCUCAUUGACUUACAAGUGAUAGGUUAUUCUGGUUAACCUAAAGCUAGGUCUUUCCAUUAAGCCAAGUUCCCCAGCCCUAGCCAAUUCCCAAUUUGGUUGCCUGAGUUUUCUGAUGCCUUUUGAGAACUCUCAGGAUUUGAGGGUGGAUGAUGAUUUUUAAUUUUUUUGUAUAUCCACUGAGAUGUUUGUUGGAUUGAGGAAAAAAAUUUUGAAUCAUUUUGGGCUGGCUCUAGUAUCACUAAGUUGUUUGCAUUUCCUUGCAGUCUUCUCACAAGACUUUCAGGAUCAAGCGAUUUUUGGCCAAGAAACAAAAGCAAAAUCGUCCCAUUCCCCAGUGGAUUCGAAUGAAAACUGGUAAUAAAAUCAGGUAAGACACCACACACACACACACACACACACUAUUCUUUGUUUCAAUUUAGAGACAGGGUCUAAACAUGCAGUUGAAAGUUACAUGUAAUUGCUGAGGCUGGCUUUGAACUGCGAUCCUCCUGCCUCAGCCUCCUGAGCUGCUGGGAUUACAGGUAUGUGCCACCACGCCUGGCUGGUUAUCAUCUUUAUGUGGUUUUUGGGAUCAAACCGAGUGCCUCACGCCCCAUUCAGUCACUCAGCUUUAGCCUUGAUUAACACAAAUUACUAUUUGAUGUGGUCAGCUUUUUUUUUUUUUUGAAAUUAUUGAAUUUAUGAUUUUGGAAGAAAGACGUCUUUGGAGAAAAAAUAAGUUUGUUAAAUAUGGCCCUAAAUCCCAAAACCAGUGACAAACCUAGAGUGUUAAAUAACAUUCACAUUUUUGGCAUAUUCAAAAUGAAAUAGCAGGUAUAUUGGAUUUUCCAAAUAACAGCUAAGAACAUAGAGGAAGAGCUUAGGAUAUGGGUCCAUCUAGGAAAAGGAUACCAAAAAUCUAGUGUAAACUUUCUGGGUUCUUAAGCCAAUCUGUUUUCCAUGUUCCUGUCAACUGAUGAUAUCUAUGUUUUGGUUCUUGGAGAUUAACAAACUGUACCUCUUUGAUAGAAUGGAGGGCCUAAUUCAAUGGACAAUCCUGGUUCUCUGGUCUCAUACAAUUGGGGAGAUAUUUGCUAUCUUCCAACUUUUAUUUAUUUUGUGUGUGCCUGGUGCCCAGGGCAAUUAAUUGAGAGCAGGUUGCAAUAAAAGUGCUUCGCUUUAUGGAAGUACGGCCAUUAUCCUGAUGCAAGAAAAGUUAUGUAGUGUACCUUUCAUUUUGCCUACUGGGGGGCAAGUCAUGGCAGAUUGGCAUGAUGGCUUUAACUUUGGAAUGUGCUAUUAAAAUGAAGUAUUAGUCUCAUGUAACGAUAAUGCAGGUUUGUGUGUGAUCCAUUAAGAGGGGGUUAAAGAUAUGCUUGCAUCUACCCCCAGUGUGUUGAAUCAAAAGUGCAUGUGGGCUCAGAUGGAAGGAUGAGGUAGAAUAAUGUUCCUAUCUACUUGAUUCACGGCUAAGAACCUAGUCUGAGAUCAAUCAUCUUGAGGUUAAAAUUUGGUUUGGCCCAGUUCUUACAAAAAUGUAACAAAUAAUUUUACUCUCAAGAACAAUCCAAACUUGUUGAAGGAGAAACUGUGACCUUUGAAUUUUGUUGUACCAAGUUUAUGGUGAAUGGAGACAGCUAAAUUGUAGUCAGACUGCCUUUGUAACUGUCAGUUUCCUUCUCUGUAGGUACAAUUCCAAGAGGAGACACUGGAGGAGAACCAAGCUGGGUCUAUAAAGAAUGACAUGAAAUGGCACACAUAUUUAUCAAAGCUGUGAUCAUUUUGUCACAUCCACCUGAAAAUGUCUGCCCUAUCUGGAUAGUGUCACAGAAGCUGUAGUACUGGUUUGGGUUGGUUUGCUAAUAAAUAUGUGAAACAUUUGAACUGCUC